GCAAAGGUUUUGGAUACCAUACUCCCCUGCUCUAAGAUACACUUUUCAUUUUCACAUCUGAAGAUCCCCGUCACCAGGAUUCAUCUCACAACUGAUGGCGCCCUCCCUCAGCUGUCAGCGCGAACUUUCACGGAAGCUAUUAGCAAGAACCAGCAUGAUGGGGGAGAAGCACCGCUGUAUUCGUCACUACAAAACUCCAGAACAAAUUCACUGAAAGCUUUUAUUAGGGGAUUUGACUUUCUCCCAAGGAAGAUCGUUGCCUUCUGUUGCCUUCUGCUCUGUCCCUAGAGCCCAGAUCUCACAGUUUCUAGUCCAGAGUCCAGACAGAGUUGGCAGAGAAAAGUGACUCGAGUUCCUUGAAAACAAACCACACAUCCCUUCAUCUCUGCACCCCCUCCAGAGCCUUGCAGUCUUCACUGUCAUCACAUUCAAGCACAUGC
This 440-nucleotide long non-coding RNA is filed under the name Homo sapiens (human). RNAcentral describes it as "HSALNT0338358". Lineage: Eukaryota; Metazoa; Chordata; Mammalia; Primates; Hominidae. The record is from RNAcentral.